Molecule: long non-coding RNA, 2358 nt
Organism: Oncorhynchus tshawytscha (Chinook salmon)
Lineage: Eukaryota; Metazoa; Chordata; Actinopteri; Salmoniformes; Salmonidae
Source: Ensembl
CCCCUGUCCACAGCACCCCAAACCCCCGUUAAGCCAUCUCUUGACUAGGACACUCCCCCUGUCCACAGCACCCCAAACCCCCGUUAAGCCAUCUCUUGACUUGGACACUCCCCCUGUCCACAGCACCCCAAACCCCCAUUAAGCCAUCUCUCGACUAGGUCUCACCAGCCAUGCCCAUAAGUCUACCCAAUACCACUAUCUAUCUACAGUUAGUCCGCCAUCACCCUUGAUUGGUUUCAUUAGAUCUGCGUUCUAUAUCAACGCGAAUGGUAUCAUCUUCAAUGUAAUCAUUGUCAUCAGAAAUGUUUUAUGAUGCAAAUGCAAGGAGCAACAACAUCAACAAUUGCAUAUAUCAACCCUCUCUCUACAAACCCACAUGGAGUGUUUUAGCGCCACCUAGAGGCUGUAGUGGUGUACUAUAGAUCGAAAGAGAGCAAAGCCACAACUACUGGACAUUAUAAUAUAUUAUUUUCAUAUUUGUUUCUAUUAUAUAAUUUUAGCAUGCUAUAUUAUUUUGAUAGCAUUUACAGAGACUAAGAUAAAUAACCCAAGAGAGAAAUGAUUUGCCUCCUGCUUGCUUGCUUGGCCUGGAUUUUAAACUCUCCUUAAAGUCUUUCUGAUACAGUAUUUUAUAGUUGUUAUAGAUGUCUGGGGGACAGUAAUUAUACUGUUAUAAAAAGUUUAUAUACUGUAAGUAUAUUUACUAUUAUAUAUAUAUAUAUAUAUAUAUAAUGACAAGUGAUCUAUGUCUCUACAGAUCUCUACUGGUGCCUUCAUGUCUCUAGCCAAGCCGGUGUUUACUAAAUAAAGUAUUGAGUGUGCGUCUGCACCCUUUUCCUUAUAUUAUAUGCAUUAGUUUUCCAGGGAAGCAGCCAUUGUCACAUAACUGAACGGAUGCAUCUAUAAGCAGCAAAGACUCAAUGACUUUGAUACCAGUAAAAUACUAAAACACGGUCGGUGAAUUGAAGAAGUGAAUCAAUGUCGUAACAAAGUGCCUCAUAGUCAAUUUUCCUUUAGAAACACUACUUUCCUUUAAAAACUACGACUAAGCCAUGUAGUAUCUAGAGUGUAUUGGUACCCCUUGCAUUAUGGGUAAUGUAGUACUACAUACACUAUGCUACACAACACAGAGAUGUCCUGUCAGAACUAGCGAGGUGGCCCUUGUCUACUAGUCUCUGAUGCUAAUCCAUAGCGAGGUGGCCCUUGUCUACUAGUCUCUGAUGCUAAUCCAUAGUGAGGUGGCCCUUGUCUACUAGUCUCUAAUGCUAAUCCAUAGCGAGGUGGCCCUUGUCUACUAGUCUCUGAUGCUAAUCCAUAGCGAGGUGGCCCUUUUCUACUAGUCUCUGAUGCUAAUCCAUAGCGAUGUGGCCCUUGUCUACUAGUCUCUGAUGCUAAUCCAUAGCGAGGUGGCCCUUGUCUAUUAGUCUCUGAUGCUAAUCCAUAGUGAGGUGGCCCUUGUCUACUAGUCUCUAAUGCUAAUCCAUAGCGAGGUGGCCCUUGUCUACUAGUCUCUGAUGCUAAUCCAUAGCGAGGUGGCCCUUGUCUACUAGUCUCUAAUGCUAAUCCAUAGCGAGGUGGCCCUUGUCUACUAGUCUCUGAUGCUAAUCCAUAGCGAGAUGGCCCUUUUCUACUAGUCUCUGAUGCUAAUCCAUAGCGAUGUGGCCCUUGUCUACUAGUCUCUGAUGCUAAUCCAUAGCGAUGUGGCCCUUGUCUACUAGUCUCUGAUGCUAAUCCAUAGCGAUAUGGCCCUUGUCUACUAGUCUCUGAUGCAAAUCGAUAGCGAGGUGGCCCUUGUCUACUAGUCUCUGAUGCUAAUCCAUAGCGAUGUGGCCCUUGUCUACUAGUCUCUGAUGCUAAUCCAUAGCGAUGUGGCCCUUGUCUACUAGUCUCUGAUGCUAAUCCAUAGCGAGGUGGCCCUUGUCUACUAGUCUCUGAUGCUAAUCCAUAGCGAGGUGGCCCUUGUCUACUAGCCUCUAAUGCUAAUCCAUAGAGAGGUGGCCCUUGUCUACUAGCCUCAUGCUAAUCCAUAGAGAGGUGGCCCUUGUCUACUAGCCUCUAAUGCUAAUCCAUAGAGAGGUGGCCCUUGUCUACUAGCCUCAUGCUAAUCCAUAGCACACAGUACAGAUCAAUGUUAUAUCACUGUGAUCAUCCCCAUUUCAACUCCUCAUGUGUUUCAGUAAGUCAAACCUCUGAUGUAAGAUACAAUGAACAGACACAUAACGUCUAAGAAUCUUGUCUACACUUCUCUCUCCUCCCCCUCCCUCCCUCCCUCCCUCCCUCCCUCCCUCCCUCCUUCAUUCCCUCCCUCCCUCCCUUCCCUCCCUCCCUCCCUCCCUCCCUCCCUCCCUCCCUCCCUCC